GGGAAAUGUUUGCGGUUUUACUGAAAUAUACACAAGUACGCCCUAGACUUGAGAUUUAUUCGCCAUUCCUCUUUUUUGAGUCGCGAAUAUUUCGGCGUACAGAGGAGACACUCCCACACACAGCAACUCUACAGACAUGUCAGACUCCGAGACCGCCGCUCCGGCUGAGGCCCCCGUCCCUGCCGCAUGUGAAAGCAUCAAGGUGGACCUGGACAAAUGUGUGAAGGAGGGCGGUGACUGUAAGGAUCUGAUGGAGGCGUUUGCAGCCUGUCUGAAGAGUGCGGCGGAGGCGUCGUGAGGAGGAGCUAGGCUCACAGGAAAUGUCCACUGCAUUGAGUCCUCCAUGUUUACCAGUAUUCCCUUCUGCACAACGAGCACUGGGCUGAAUGAUACUGGCGGUGUUUGGCGCCUGGCAGAAACCCUCCACCUCUUACCUACCCCCCCCUCGAAGCUUAAAUGGUGUCUUCCGAUUUGUAUCCCCUGCUCUGCUCCCACCGUGGCUGAGUACAUCCAUUGGUAGACAAUUCCCAGAUAGCCCAUGGGUUUUAUGUAAGUUGUCCACUUAAGAUGCAUACAUUUAAAAUGGAAUAAUAAACUCUAAAAGAAAUUGGUAUAACA
Long non-coding RNA from Oncorhynchus tshawytscha (Chinook salmon), 618 nucleotides. NCBI's taxonomy places the organism in Eukaryota, Metazoa, Chordata, Actinopteri, Salmoniformes, Salmonidae. The record is from Ensembl.